This 662-nucleotide ribosomal RNA is filed under the name uncultured bacterium. Its description in RNAcentral is "bacterial SSU rRNA". It matches the Rfam family "Bacterial small subunit ribosomal RNA", at positions 52 to 669 of the family's 1533-position model. The record is from RNAcentral.
UACAUGCAAGUCGAGCGCACUGGCCCAACACGAGAUGACGUGCUUGCACUGAGUUGACGUUGGAUUCCCAGUGAGCGGCGGACGGGUGAGUAACACGUGGGCAACCUGCCCUGAAGCGGGGGAUAACAUCUGGAAACAGGUGCUAAUACCGCAUAACAACGAAAACCACAUGGUUUUCGUUUCAAAGAUGGUUUCGGCUAUCACUUCAGGAUGGGCCCGCGGUGCAUUAGCUAGUUGGUAAGGUAACGGCUUACCAAGGCGAUGAUGCAUAGCCGAGUUGAGAGACUGAUCGGCCACAAUGGAACUGAGACACGGUCCAUACUCCUACGGGAGGCAGCAGUAGGGAAUCUUCCACAAUGGGCGCAAGCCUGAUGGAGCAACACCGCGUGAGUGAAGAAGGGUUUCGGCUCGUAAAGCUCUGUUGUUGGAGAAGAACGUGUGUGAGAGUAACUGUUCACGCAGUGACGGUAUCCAACCAGAAAGUCACGGCUAACUACGUGCCAGCAGCCGCGGUAAUACGUAGGUGGCAAGCGUUAUCCGGAUUUAUUGGGCGUAAAGCGAGCGCAGGCGGUUGCUUAGGUCUGAUGUGAAAGCCUUCGGCUUAACCGAAGAAGUGCAUCGGAAACCGGGCAACUUGAGUGCAGAAGAGGACAGUGGAACUC